RNAcentral lists this long non-coding RNA (4221 nucleotides) under Homo sapiens (human). Its description in RNAcentral is "HSALNT0402243". Lineage: Eukaryota; Metazoa; Chordata; Mammalia; Primates; Hominidae. The record is from RNAcentral.
AUUCCUCGUAGACGGGAUGGUUGUGAGCGGGACAGAAACUCCACCACAAGGGUUCUGGGGGUACUACAGGGACUAAAGGAAGCAGUGUGAUCAGUGUGAAAGCAGCAAGGCCAUGAUUUAUUUCUUGGGCGUGUAGUUUUCUCCCGAGGCCUCUGCUUGGUUAUUUUACCCAGCAUCGGUGCCAAAGGAGAUUUCCCCAAAGGGAAAAGUACUGCAGUGCUCGACGCAUUACAGUCCUUUCCCGUUUGCAAGCUCUCCCACACAUUCCUUCUUCUGUUCCCAAAUCACAGGAGACGACGAGAAAGAGAACAGACCACCUGUCCAGAUAAUUUGCCUUUGGAGUCUGCAGGGCUGGUGAAGGCAUCCUGAGAUGGGGGAGGCCCCUGGGGACCUCCACAGUCAGGGCUCCCACCUCCUCUCCCACACCGCUCUGCCUCAUGCCCUGGGUUGCCUGUCUGACUGUCUCAAGACUGGGGGUUCUCCGGUGAGCAGAUGGCUGCUUAGCGUCUAUGCCGUGUGCCUGGCUUUUUCCAACCACUCCGAAUUGAUCAUUUCCUAAUGACCACAUGGCUCAGAAACUCACAGCACAUCCUUCUAGGGGCCUCUUUCUCCCAAGUCCUCCCAGGGACUUGGCAGCUUCAUCUCUAAGGCCUGCAGAGGCUGUGGCUAUGGCUGUCCAUUGUUCUCGCUCCUUGGCUUCAGUUCAGAGCCAUCAAAUCCCUGCAGCUCGCACACUGGAACAUUCAUAUUUUGGAUAAGGCCUUUGCUGUCAGUGGAAUACAGCAACACACAAGACAGACACAGUUGCCUUCCCGCUGAGGCUGGACGUCUACAAAGAAACUCUGGACAGCUAUUUGCCAAGGCGAUGGGCACUACAGAUGAGACGCACAAAUGAUAUGACUCAUGGGUGACGCUGGGCAAACCUCGGUGGUUGAGUCCUGUUGGGUUUUCUCAUAGGAGGUGCUUCCAGGAACAUUCUUGUGCAAGACCGUGUGAGAGUAUCUCCAAGAUAGACAAGUGGAAGUGAAAUUCUGGGCCAUAGUGGAUGAACACUUGCCAAGAGGUGUUGACAAAUUAGUCUUAAAUGAACCUGUACUGCAUUUUAAGGCCUGGGAGCUCUUAGUGGCCCCAUCCUUUCCAAAGCUUGUGUGGUUGGCCGAGUAAUGUCUUCCAAGAUGUCCAAUUCCCAAUCCCUGGAACUUCUGAAUGCUAGCCUGUAUGACAAAAGAGACUCUGAAGCUGGGAUUAAGUUAAGAAUCUUGAGUGGGGAGAUUAUCCUGGAUAAUCCAAAUGGGUCCUUAUAAGAAAGAGGCAUGAGAUCAGAGAACCAGAAGGUGAUGUGAGGAUGGAAUCUAAGAGAGAGUUGAGGAUGCUGUGGCUGCUGGCUUUGAAGGUGCAGGAAGGGCCAUGAGCCAAGGAAUGUGAGAAAUGGAGCUGGAGUUGCCAGAAAAGGCAAGAACAGGGAAUCUUCCUGAGAGGCUGCAGAAGGAGCCAGCUGUGCAACACCUUGACUUUAGCCCAGCGAGACUGUUUUCCAACUUCUGAGCUCCAAAACUAAAUUGGAGGCAGAAGGUUACCAACAUUGCCUGGUGUCCAGCCAGGAGGUAGAGCGUGGUGGCAUCCAGAACCUUCCUCCAACUCCUGCCUGGCGUGGUUUUUAUUCAUCUUUGUAUUCCCAAGAAACUUCUCAGUGUCUCAGGAGUGUUAGGCACUCAAGCUUUCCAAGGUGAAAGUGUUGGACACUCUUUCUUCAUCUCAGAUUUAAUCAACUAAGAAUGCUGCAAAUUGAACACCAGUCCACAAAACUCAGGAAUACAUGAAAAGCAUUGUGCCUUAUUUUUAACUAACUCAAAUUCUAUGUCAGUCUCCCUUUUAUGCUGGAUGUUGGCGCUAAAUCUCAGUGGGUUCCUCAUUCUGCCAGACCUGUGUCCAGUUUGGGGGCUUCACAUAGAGCCACCCCAUCACAGGAGAGGGAAGGGUCUUGCUCUUGGUUGCCAUCACUCCACCCUCUUGUCUUCCGAGCUUUGAUGUUCACUUUCCUUUUCACCACUCGGAAGCUUCCUGCCAUGAUACAUUGAGACCUCAAUGUUAAUGCCAAUUGGGGUUUGGGGUUCUCAUAAACUCAGAAGUCCAGGAAAAUCGCCUGCUGCCUCCCACAACACUCUGAGGGCAUUCUGGAAUCCUACCACUUACCUGGAGCCUGCUGGCCUCAACUGUUUUGAAGUCUGUGUCUGGGCCAUGCAGGUAAAUGGGAGGAUGUUCUGUGGCCAUAAAAAUACCCGAAGUCCCACCUAAAGUUGAUGCAGGGUCUUCUGCAUUUCAUUGCAAAAUUGUUCUAUCAUUUCUAUAGUUUUCAGCCUACAGUCAGGGGCCAGGACUUUGCACCCUUGGUAAACCUCAAUCUCUUCUCCUUCCUGGCUUCUACUCCUUUCUCCCUCAAUCCCAAAUCAAGGCCCUUGAUUGUCUGGAGGUAGGAAAGCCUGGUUCUGGCUCAUGAUAUAGUCUACAUCAUAGCCUUUGUCAUCUCAUGGAUUCACUCAACAACCGUGUGUGGAUGGGGCCACCCAAUAUGUGCCAGGAGUUGAGGACACGCAGGGUUAUGAUGAUGAAAUAGAUAAGGGGCCCACACUCACGGACCCUGCAGGACAGUGGAGCUGUGGACCCAGCAUGCGAGUAAAGACCCAGUGAGCUCACCAGACAGAUCAUUUAAAUCAGGUGAUAGGACAGUGAAGGGCGGGGGCUGCAUUAGUUUUGGUGGCAAGAGAAGGAUUAUCUUCUGAGAGGAUCCACAAAGUAAAGAGGGCCGGUAUGACUGGGUAGAGUGAGGACCGUGGUUGAGGCAGAAGAUGGAGCUCUUUAUUGAGCUCUAGGGAGCCCGUCGGAUGGGACCUACGGGGCUUGAGGGAGCCCAUCGGAUGGGACCUACGGGGCUUGAGGGAGCCCAUCGGAUGGGACCUACGGGGCUUGAGGGAGCCCAUCGGAUGGGACCUACGGGGCUUGAGGGAGCCCAUAGGAUGGGACCUACGGGGCUUGGCGGACUUAAUUUUAAAUGUGGAAGAAGCCAUUGCAGAGCCUGAACCUGAGGUGUGGCAUGGUUCGAGUUACUUCAAACCAAAUUUAUUGAAAUCUCUUUGCAUAAAAUGCAAUGCGUAGAUCUUAAGAGUAUAGUUCAAUGAGAUUUGAUAAAUGUAUGCACCAGUGUAACAACUCCUCCAGUCAAGAUAAAGAAACGUCCCUCACUAUUUCCUCAUGCCCCUUCAUAGUCAAUAUCUGAUCCACUCAGCCUAGGCAACCAUUGAUCUGCUUUUAUCACCAUAGAUAUUUGGGUAUGAGUCUUUGUAUGAUCAGCUAUUUUUAUGUUGCUUGGGUAAAUAUUUAGGAAUAGAACUGCUGAGGCCAAGGAUAGAAUAUUUAACUUGAUUGCCGACUGUUUUUCCCAAGUGGUUGUACCACGUUCUGCCUCCACCAGCAUGUGUGAGUUUCCAGGGCUUCUUGUCCUUGCCAGAUACCAGGUGGUUGCAUGCCGUGUCCCAGUGGCUGUUGGGAAUCACAGUAGCUGGGCCCAAGAUGACUCUGGAGGACUUUACAUUUGCGCCCAUCUGUGGGUCCUCCUAUGCCAGUGUUUCCCAAAGCAUGGGCCAUGCGCAUUAUUCUUUCCAAAAUGAUGUCAUAUGGUGCAUAGGAAUGUCAUGGAAUACAAUGGAAUCACUCUGGAAGGAACUUUUCCCUUCUCAGGUGUUGUUUGAAUAUUCCUGAUGUGAUCGAGGAGAUUAACUGCUACUUAACAUCUCUGCACCGCUUGCUAAACUCCUUGUUAAAAUUAUGCUUUUUAUUUUGAAGGAGUUCUAGAUUCACAUGCGUUGUAAGAAAUAACAGAGAGAUUGCAUGUACUCUUCACCCAGUUUCUCCCAAUGGUAACAUCUUGCGAAACUAUGGUGCAAAAUCAAAACCAAAUCUCUUUUUAUAACAAAGAGAGGGUUCCCACCUCAAGCUCAGAUCCUUCCCUGUGUAGCUAGAACUUAGUAACAGUGUUUUAUUUUAUUAUAUUCAGUUUCAAGGGUUACAUUCUAUUUAUAACAAAUGAUACUGGUUUUCCCUUUACAAUAAUGAUAAAAUUUUAUUACUGAGUAAAUUGAUUUAUGUUUAAAAAUUGAGUUAUUUUAAAGAAUAUAUUAUAUAAAUGAUUGUGCUAGCUGUAUGAAAAUGAAAGUGAAUGAUACA